RNAcentral lists this ribosomal RNA (80 nucleotides) under Staphylococcus pseudintermedius. RNAcentral's name for it is "partial 16S ribosomal RNA". It matches the Rfam family "Bacterial small subunit ribosomal RNA", at positions 1 to 80 of the family's 1533-position model. The record is from RNAcentral. Lineage: Bacteria; Bacillati; Bacillota; Bacilli; Caryophanales; Staphylococcaceae.
UUUAUGGAGAGUUUGAUCCUGGCUCAGGAUGAACGCUGGCGGCGUGCCUAAUACAUGCAAGUCGAGCGAACAGAUAAGGA